GACGAACGCUGGCGGCGUGCUUAACACAUGCAAGUCGAACGGAAAGGCCCCUUUGGGGGUACUCGAGUGGCGAACGGGUGAGUAACACGUGAGUAACCUGCCCUUGACUUCGGGAUAACUUCAGGAAACUGGGGCUAAUACCGGAUAGGAAUCCUUGCUGCAUGGUGGGGGUUGGAAAGCUUCGGCGGGUUUGGAUGGACUCGCGGCUUAUCAGCUUGUUGGUGGGGUAGUGGCUUACCAAGGCUUUGACGGGUAGCCGGCCUGAGAGGGCGACCGGCCACAUUGGGACUGAGAUACGGCCCAGACUCCUACGGGAGGCAGAAGUGGGGAAGAUUGCACAAUGGGCGGAAGCCUGAUGCAGCAACGCCGCGUGCGGGAUGACGGCCUUCGGGUUGUAAACCGAUUUCAGCAGGGGCGAAGCUUGUGGUGACGGUACCUGCAGAAGAAGCACCGGCUAACUACGUG
Molecule: ribosomal RNA, 465 nt
Filed under: uncultured bacterium
Lineage: Bacteria
Description: partial 16S ribosomal RNA
Rfam family: Bacterial small subunit ribosomal RNA
Source: RNAcentral